AAUGCAGUACUGACUCCACUGUAGCAGCACAAUCCCACCUUGCAAGGAUAAAACUAACCAAUUUCAAAAGGACACAGUUUUAAGAACUAAUUUUAGUGACUUUAUUUGUCUAAAUAAAUCUGUCCAGUUAAGCAAUAUUAAAGCAGUUUUAUAUUCCUAAGAUCAUGUGCUCAAGUACUUUGUAUUUACCCUUAACAAGAUAAUGAACUGAGUGCCUUGGUAGAGCAGGAAGGAGUAGACACAUUAGAUAGGAUAAAAUUAGAGAAAUGAGGUCCAAAAUUGAUGCCAAUCUGUGACCAUAAUCUUCCAAUCCUCUCCAGAUGUGGGAGUGAUGAAUUAUGAUUUGCAAAUGAACCUGGUAACUACAGGCCAGGAAGUCUAACAUCAGCAGUGAAAAGAACUACUAGAGCUUAUUGUCAUGGACAAAAUUCUCACCUGGAGAAAGCACUGGUUAAUAAGAGCUCUUUUGAAGAGUCAUAUUCGACACAAAACUAACUUUCUCUCUCUCCACAGACGCUGCCAGACCUGUUGAGUAUUUCCAACACUUUAUUAAUGAGGUGUUCAGCUCCCCGAGGCAACUCUCUGCCUUCCAGGAACUUUCAUUAAGCGCUUGCCCGUGCUGACGUCAGCACCCAUCCUCCUCCCUACCCCCACCCCGGCAGCGCUGAGGAAUUCAGUGCGCAUGUCAUGCUAGCUGCCUGUUAAUUGGCCAGCUAGUGUGAAAUUGCGGUCAGGGACCGAUCAAGGUCGGCGCUCUGUUCCCUGGCCGAUCCUGGAACUGCCGAUCGCGCCCAUCUGCUGACCUAGAACUAGGGGAUACAGUUUAAUAAUAAGAGGUCUCCCUUUUAAGACUGAGGUGAGGAGAAAUUUUCUCUUGAGGGUUCUUAGUCUGUGGAAUUCUCUUCUCCAGGAGAGCAGUGGAGGCUGUUAUUGAAUUUUUUCAAGGCAAAGUUAGACAUACUGGGGAGUCAAGGGUUAUGGGGGUAGACAGUGGAGUUGAGACUAGCCAUGAAUGGUAGAGCAGGCUUGAAGGGCCUAGUGGCUCACUCCUGCUCCAAGUCCUAUGCUCUUCUGUUCCCAAAACUCUUUGGAACUCCAUUUCUGGUUUUUCACCAGAACCAGUAUCCUGUUCUACCCUUUUUUAGGUUGAAAGUGGACAACCUCACAUUUGCCUACAUUGUGAAUUGGCAAACUGACAAAUGGAUUGCAAUGUAUUAAUAUAUUUGUAAUUUUAUGCUUCCCAUGCUGACUGUCAUUGGCAAAUCUGGACAAUUCAUCAUUUAACUUUUUAAUAAAUACUGUGAAAAACAC
This is a long non-coding RNA of Carcharodon carcharias (great white shark), 1311 nucleotides long. RefSeq lists it as uncharacterized. The record is from RefSeq and is a predicted model, not a curated record. The transcript has 2 exons. Lineage: Eukaryota; Metazoa; Chordata; Chondrichthyes; Lamniformes; Lamnidae.